CCUACGGGUGGCAGCAGUAGGGAAUCUUUCACAAUGGGCGAAAGCCUGAUGGAGCAACGCCGCGUGCAGGAUGAAGGCCCUCGGGUUGUAAACUGCUUUUAUAAGCGAGACAUAUGAUGGUAACUUAUGAAUAAGGAUCGGCUAACUACGUGCCAGCAGCCGCGGUCAUACGUAGGAUCCGAGCAUUAUCCGGAGUGUCUGGGUGUAAAGAGUUGCGUAGGUGGGAUAAUAAGUAGCUAGGGAAAUCUGGUGGCUCAACCAUUCAGACUAUUAGCGAAACUGUGAAGCUCGAGAGCGUUAGGGGUAACUGGAAUUUGUAGUGUAGGAGUGAAAUGCGUAGAUAUUAGGAAGAACACCGAUAGCGUAGGCAGGUUACUGGCGCGGAUCUGACGCUAAGGCACGAAAGCGUGGGGAGCGAACGGGAUUAGAUACCCCAGUAGUC
RNAcentral lists this ribosomal RNA (442 nucleotides) under uncultured bacterium. RNAcentral describes it as "partial 16S ribosomal RNA". It matches the Rfam family "Bacterial small subunit ribosomal RNA", at positions 338 to 795 of the family's 1533-position model. The record is from RNAcentral.